RNAcentral lists this ribosomal RNA (253 nucleotides) under uncultured bacterium. RNAcentral describes it as "partial 16S ribosomal RNA". It matches the Rfam family "Bacterial small subunit ribosomal RNA", at positions 524 to 776 of the family's 1533-position model. The record is from RNAcentral.
UACGUAGGUGGCAAGCGUUGUCCGGAAUUAUUGGGCGUAAAGGGCUCGUAGGCGGUUUGUUGCGUCGAAAGUGAAAAUCCGGGGCUUAACUCCGGACUUGCUUUCGAUACGGGCAGACUAGAGGUAGGCAGGGGAGAGUGGAAUUCCUGGUGUAGCGGUGGAAUGCGCAGAUAUCAGGAGGAACACCGGUGGCGAAGGCGGCUCUCUGGGCCUUACCUGACGCUGAGGAGCGAAAGCGUGGGGAGCGAACAGG